GCCUUCGUGGUGUAAUGGUAGAAAACUCGGCGCGUAAUCGAGAGGUCCAGGUUCGAAACCCAGCGAGGGCA
This 71-nucleotide transfer RNA is filed under the name Stegodyphus mimosarum. It matches the Rfam family "tRNA". From Rfam's summary of the family: Transfer RNA (tRNA) molecules are approximately 80 nucleotides in length. Their secondary structure includes four short double-helical elements and three loops (D, anti-codon, and T loops). Further hydrogen bonds mediate the characteristic L-shaped molecular structure. tRNAs have two regions of fundamental functional importance: the anti-codon, which is responsible for specific mRNA codon recognition, and the 3' end, to which the tRNAs corresponding amino acid is attached (by aminoacyl-tRNA synthetases). tRNAs cope with the degeneracy of the genetic code in two manners: having more than one tRNA (with a specific anti-codon) for a particular amino acid; and 'wobble' base-pairing, i.e. permitting non-standard base-pairing at the 3rd anti-codon position. Lineage: Eukaryota; Metazoa; Arthropoda; Arachnida; Araneae; Eresidae. The record is from Rfam by way of RNAcentral.